UCAAAGUUUACAUUAUUGUCGAUGUUUAUGCACAGUGGCUGAUUUUCCACAUUAGGAGCAGCAAGCUCCUUGAGUGUUUGUUGUCGUGCAACAGCCAUGGUGUUGAGGCGAGCUUCCUUUCGUAACCUGCGUAAAGUGUUUUCUAUUUCGAGAUCCAACUGCACUUGAAUUUGAUUAGUAGAACGGGUUACAGGCAUAAAUCUUCAAGAAAACUCAAA
This 218-nucleotide long non-coding RNA is filed under the name Populus trichocarpa (black cottonwood). RNAcentral describes it as "long non-coding RNA (PTRI_LNC002410)". The record is from RNAcentral. Lineage: Eukaryota; Viridiplantae; Streptophyta; Magnoliopsida; Malpighiales; Salicaceae.